Molecule: ribosomal RNA, 486 nt
Filed under: uncultured bacterium
Lineage: Bacteria
Description: partial 16S ribosomal RNA
Rfam family: Bacterial small subunit ribosomal RNA
Source: RNAcentral
AUUGAACGCUGGCGGCAUGCCUUACACAUGCAAGUCGAACGGCAGCACGGGUGCUUGCACCUGGUGGCGAGUGGCGAACGGGUGAGUAAUACAUCGGAACAUGUCCUGUAGUGGGGGAUAGCCCGGCGAAAGCCGGAUUAAUACCGCAUACGAUCUACGGAUGAAAGCGGGGGACCUUCGGGCCUCGCGCUAUAGGGUUGGCCGAUGGCUGAUUAGCUAGUUGGUGGGGUAAAGGCCUACCAAGGCGACGAUCAGUAGCUGGUCUGAGAGGACGACCAGCCACACUGGGACUGAGACACGGCCCAGACUCCUACGGGAGGCAGCAGUGGGGAAUUUUGGACAAUGGGCGAAAGCCUUAUCCAGCAAUGCCGCGUGUGUGAAGAAGGCCUUCGGGUUGUAAAGCACUUUUGUCCGGAAAGAAAUCCUUGGCCCUAAUACGGUCGGGGGAUGACGGUACCGGAAGAAUAAGCACCAGCUAACUACGUG